UGGAAAGGAAUGUUCAGGUUAAGGUAAAGG
RNAcentral lists this non-coding RNA (30 nucleotides) under Callithrix jacchus (white-tufted-ear marmoset). Lineage: Eukaryota; Metazoa; Chordata; Mammalia; Primates; Cebidae. RNAcentral also lists the same sequence under 1 other name. The record is from RNAcentral.